GGGGCAGUAGCUCAGCUGGGAGAGCGACGCGUUCGCAACGCGUAGGUCGCCGGUUCGAAUCCGGUCUGCUCCACCA
This 76-nucleotide transfer RNA is filed under the name Deltaproteobacteria bacterium RBG_16_48_10. RNAcentral describes it as "tRNA-Ala". It matches the Rfam family "tRNA". From Rfam's summary of the family: Transfer RNA (tRNA) molecules are approximately 80 nucleotides in length. Their secondary structure includes four short double-helical elements and three loops (D, anti-codon, and T loops). The record is from RNAcentral. Lineage: Bacteria; Deltaproteobacteria.